RNAcentral lists this ribosomal RNA (468 nucleotides) under uncultured bacterium. RNAcentral's name for it is "SSU rRNA". It matches the Rfam family "Bacterial small subunit ribosomal RNA", at positions 26 to 518 of the family's 1533-position model. The record is from RNAcentral.
AGGACUAACGCUGGCGGCGUGCCUAACACAUGCAAGUCGAACGGGGGUAGCAAUACCCCAGUGGCAGACGGGUGAGUAACACGUGGUCAACCUACCUCUGUGUGGGGGAUAACUAGCCGAAAGGUUAGCUAAUACCGCAUACGAUCGUUUUGAGGCAUCUCGAGACGAUGAAAGGAGCAAUCCGCACGGAGAGGGGACUGCGUCCCAUUAGUUAGUUGGUGGGGUAACGGCCUACCAAGACUCCGAUGGGUAGCUGGCUUGAGAGUGCGACCAGCCACACUGGAACUGAGACACGGUCCAGACUCCUACGGGAGGCAGCAGUGAGGAAUUUUCGGCAAUGGGGGCAACCCUGACCGAGCAACGCCGCGUGCAGGACGACGGCCUUCGGGUUGUAAACUGCUUUUCUCUGGGACGAGCAAGGACGGUACCAGAGGAAGAAGCCCCGGCUAACUACGUGCCAGCAGCCGC